AGAUUAGGACCAUCCAUACCCUUGUUCUUAAAGCAUAGUAAAGCAUGAUUCAAAUUGAAUUCCUUUUGAUUAUGUAUGGCAGAAAAUAAGUGUGGGGGGAUUUGUUUCUCAUGUAAGUAGUGUGCCAUAGGCACGGGUGGAAAGAAAGAAAAAAAAGAAACGGGUGAAAAGUAAAAAAAAAAAAAAAAAAAGAGUUGAAAAGAUGUGAAAAAGAGUCCUAAAGUAUUGUUUGUUGAAGAAGGGGUCCAAAACUUUGAAUUCGGCCCUAAUUAUUGCUUGAAUCUUCCCGUCGUGUUUAAAAGUUGAUUUCUACAAUCUAAGUGAAUUCUAAGUUUCAAGUUCAUUACUUUGCUUGCUAUUGCUUUAAGAACGUUUGUUAUCCCUAUCCUUCAUUUGUUAGCCAACACCCCAAGCCCGUUACAACCUUUGACUUCAAUCUUGAGUGUUAUGUGUUUCAAUUUGUGGAGUUUGAAUUUGGUAUGAGCAUAUGGUGUCACUGGUUCUCGCAUCUAAGUAGUAGCAUUCCAUUCAUGAGAUCAUAUCUAAACAUGCUUAUUAACUCCAGAAAUUGCUUUCUUUGUGAUACAUAUAUGUGAGCAUUCGUUUUCAUGUUUACAUCAAUCUUCUCACAUAUAACUAGUAUAGGGUGUGUAGUUAGAAAAUCUGAGUGAAAAUUGAGUGAAUAUCUCGUAAGGACUUGAGCAAAUUCUCUAAGGCAUGUUACUACAUUCAAAAUCAUAUUUUAAUUGGUUAAAUGUGAACUAGUACGUGGUGACUAUGAUUAAGUAUGUGCUUAAGUGUGAAGAUGAUUCAAAUCUGUGGGGAUAAUGAUUUUUAACAUGUCAUAUGCGUUGGAAAUCCCUAAGGCAAACGUUGGAAGGUUUAGGUUGUGUUUUGUUUUCUUUAUCUGACUUUGGAAGCAUGUUACAAACAGUUCAGAAUGAAUGAGAGAAUGAGCCUUAUAUGCAUGGAAAGAUACGGAUGUCUAUUUUCUGGAGCAAUUUACGGAUUGUUAAUCUCAUUUUUCUAGAAGAAGUUAUGGGCAUUGUAACACUGAAAGGUUAGAAAAGGGCUAAGCAGAUUUGGCUAAUAAAAAGAGAAAGGCAACACAUGGGCAAAGGAAACACACACACAUGGGCAGAAAAUGGGUGGAUUGGUGGUUGAAAUGAUGAAGCAUGUGUGUGUAAAGGCAAAGGAAACACACACACAUGGGCAAAGGAAACACACACGCAUGGGUAGGAAUUGUGUGUGUUUUGUGGUUGAAAUGAUGCAAAGAACAUGUGUGUGUGCAAGUGUAACAGCUAGGAUGAUAACAUGGCAGCAAACACAUGGCAAAGAAAAGAACAUGGCAGCAAACACAUGGAGCACACACAUGGGCAGAAAAUGUGGGUGUUUGGUGGUUGAAAUGAUGAAGCAUGUGUGUGUAAAUGUAAAGGAAAACAUGGCAGAAAA
This 1452-nucleotide long non-coding RNA is filed under the name Malus domestica (apple). RNAcentral describes it as "long non-coding RNA (MDOM_LNC019988)". Lineage: Eukaryota; Viridiplantae; Streptophyta; Magnoliopsida; Rosales; Rosaceae. The record is from RNAcentral.